Astyanax mexicanus (Mexican tetra) is the source of this 481-nucleotide long non-coding RNA. RefSeq lists it as uncharacterized. Lineage: Eukaryota; Metazoa; Chordata; Actinopteri; Characiformes; Acestrorhamphidae. The record is from RefSeq and is a predicted model, not a curated record. The transcript is spliced from 2 exons.
CAAGCAUUACCCAGAUCAACAACAGAACACUUGCACUUGGGAGGCUUUAUGUACAGGUUUCCCUCCAAAAUACCUGGAAGUGACAUCAUACCACUUCUGGUAUGGUACUAUUUAAGCCCAGUCCAAGAAUUGCGAUUUGUUUUUUGUGGGGUAGUCUGUAAUGUUGGAGUUGUUUACUGCAAGUUGUCUAUGUAUUUGUGAAUUAUUUUAGCAGGGGCUUUCCUUUUUCACUCAAUUUCUUGUGUGAUUUGUUUGCCAGGCAAUUGCAGCCCAUCAUGAAGUGUACUUUGCAGGAACCUGUGGUGAUGGAUGGUGUUCCUUUGUGGUGAGCCUGCUUGGCCUCUACAUUCGAAAUCUUCCACUCCUUCCCUUACAUCGAGUACUUUGGUUAUGACCUGAAUAUUGUCUAAUUGUUUAUUCCUGUUCUACUUGAAGUGUAAACUUCUUUUUGCUGUGUAUUGUGGAAUUUUAAAUAAAUGAU